Non-coding RNA from Pelobates cultripes (western spadefoot toad), 342 nucleotides. The record is from the annotation of a GenBank genome assembly. NCBI's taxonomy places the organism in Eukaryota, Metazoa, Chordata, Amphibia, Anura, Pelobatidae.
CUGUCCUACAGCCCUUAGGAAGGGAGCUGGGAGCUCCCUACAAAGAUAAGUACCACUUUUUUUUUUUCUUUUCCUUUCAGUUUUAGGUUUGUUUAUUUAACAGAAUAUACCUUUAAGUGAUGCUUUCAUACUAUUCUGCACCUGUCACUUUAAUAUUUACUUAAAAGUUUACUUACCUUGGAUCUCUGGGACUUCCUCUCCUUCAGAGGAUUCAUAUACUUACCUGGGGAUCAUCCCCCAUUAGUCCAUUCUCUCUCCACGGCCCCUGUGUGUUUGCCUGGGUCCCUGGUAGCUGCCCCAUGCCUUCUCCUCUCAGACUGAGUGUUUUAAACCCGGUAUUCA